GGCGACUGAAGCGGGAAUAGCUCACCGUGUGAAUCUGCACAAGAUGUCUUGUGCCGAGUUGUGGUCUGUAGAGGCAAUGUCAGUCAGUACUUCGGGCCAAGUCCUUUGGAAAAAGGCAGCUGAGAAGGUGAGACUCCUGUUCUUGCCUGAAGUAUAUGAUUAUGGCACAUGCUUUCAACGAGUCGAGUUGUUUGGGAUUGCAGCUCAAAUUGGGUGGUAAAUUCCAUCUAAAGCUAAAUAUUGGUGGGAGACCGAUAGCGUACAAGUACCGUGAGGGAAAGAUGCAAAGAACUUUGAAAAGAGAGUUAAAGAGUACCUGAAAUUGCUGAGAGGGAAGCGAAGGAAACCAGUGUUGUUCCAAUACAUUUUUCUCGUGCAGCUUGCUGCAGGGGCGCUGUGUAUUGGAGUAGGCCAGCAUGGGUUUGCAUCGACACAAAUGGCUGUAGAGGAGGUAGAUCAAUUUCUGAUUGAAGACUCUGUGGUUUUGUGUUGGUGUGGACUGAGGCAAGCAUGUGUGAUGCUGGCGAAAUGGUUUUCUUUACCCCGUCUUGAAACACGGACCAAGGAGUUCAACAUAUGUGCGAGUACAGGAGUGGCAAACUCCCGUGCGCAAUGAAAGUAACAGUGGUAGGACCUUUGGGCACUAUCCGCCGGCCACAAUCCUUCGGGAGAAAGGUCUGAGUGUGAGCAUACAUGUUGAGACCCGAAAGAUGGUGAACUAUGC
RNAcentral lists this ribosomal RNA (724 nucleotides) under Chaetoceros subtilis. RNAcentral describes it as "partial large subunit ribosomal RNA". It matches the Rfam family "Eukaryotic large subunit ribosomal RNA", at positions 88 to 836 of the family's 3401-position model. The record is from RNAcentral. Lineage: Eukaryota; Bacillariophyta; Thalassiosirophyceae; Chaetocerotales; Chaetocerotaceae.